RNAcentral lists this ribosomal RNA (619 nucleotides) under Streptomyces sp. LV4. RNAcentral's name for it is "bacterial SSU rRNA". It matches the Rfam family "Bacterial small subunit ribosomal RNA", at positions 243 to 872 of the family's 1533-position model. The record is from RNAcentral. Lineage: Bacteria; Bacillati; Actinomycetota; Actinomycetes; Kitasatosporales; Streptomycetaceae.
AGCUUGUUGGUGGGGUAAUGGCCUACCAAGGCGACGACGGGUAGCCGGCCUGAGAGGGCGACCGGCCACACUGGGACUGAGACACGGCCCAGACUCCUACGGGAGGCAGCAGUGGGGAAUAUUGCACAAUGGGCGAAAGCCUGAUGCAGCGACGCCGCGUGAGGGAUGACGGCCUUCGGGUUGUAAACCUCUUUCAGCAGGGAAGAAGCGAAAGUGACGGUACCUGCAGAAGAAGCGCCGGCUAACUACGUGCCAGCAGCCGCGGUAAUACGUAGGGCGCAAGCGUUGUCCGGAAUUAUUGGGCGUAAAGAGCUCGUAGGCGGCUUGUUGCGUCGGUUGUGAAAGCCCGGGGCUUAACCCCGGGUCUGCAGUCGAUACGGGCAGGCUAGAGUGUGGUAGGGGAGAUCGGAAUUCCUGGUGUAGCGGUGAAAUGCGCAGAUAUCAGGAGGAACACCGGUGGCGAAGGCGGAUCUCUGGGCCAUUACUGACGCUGAGGAGCGAAAGCGUGGGGAGCGAACAGGAUUAGAUACCCUGGUAGUCCACGCCGUAAACGUUGGGAACUAGGUGUUGGCGACAUUCCACGUCGUCGGUGCCGCAGCUAACGCAUUAAGUUCCCCGC